GGUGACCAUGGAGGCGCAAAUUGCGGCGAUUGUGCGGCAGAUGACUGUGCUGACGGAUGCAGUCAAGAGCCUUCAACAACAACCAAUCUGGUUGCCGCAAUUGCCGGUGGGGCAACCGGCGGCACACCCGAUGUCCUCCAGGAGCAGCCGCCGAUGCCCGCAUCGGUCUCCGUCUCCUCCUCAAGAGCAGCUGUCACAACACUCCCA
This 207-nucleotide long non-coding RNA is filed under the name Elaeis guineensis (African oil palm). RNAcentral's name for it is "long non-coding RNA (EGUI_LNC036154)". The record is from RNAcentral. Lineage: Eukaryota; Viridiplantae; Streptophyta; Magnoliopsida; Arecales; Arecaceae.